RNAcentral lists this long non-coding RNA (1043 nucleotides) under Salvator merianae (Argentine black and white tegu). RNAcentral describes it as "lncRNA (ENSSMRG00000002715.1)". The record is from RNAcentral. Lineage: Eukaryota; Metazoa; Chordata; Lepidosauria; Squamata; Teiidae.
AAACUAUAACCGCGUCCGAAAGUUCGCAACUUUGCGCUCAGCGAGAGGAAAGCCAGCGGCGACCGAGACAGCGACGCCCCGACUGCAAGGAGACAGCGAUGGAGCCCGGAGCUGCCAGCGAACAAGUGCUCUCCACCGACUAUCUUGAGGGCUUCCUGACGGAGUUUGACCAGGUGCUCCAGGACUUUGACAAGGGCGAAGCCACACAGUAUGAGGGACACCUGGAGGAGCUCAAGAGGCGGCUGUGUCCAGGGACGUAUGACAGCGGUAUCGAGGAGUCGACCAGUGACAGCACGUCUCCUGCCAGCAGCCUGAACACAAGCGAGGAAGACCUCAACACCCCAGUGACCAUGGCAUCCAGGUUCCCCUCCUCCUCCUCCUCCUCCAGAGCCAAGCUGGGAGACACGCAAGAGCUGGAAGAGUUCAUCGCGGACCUGGACAAAGUCCUGGAAGAGAUGUGACUGCCUUCUCCCGAGAAAUAUCCCGAACGAAGCACCUUCCCCGCCACGUUCCCCCGAGAGAAUGAACGGGAACCACGGGGCUGCCCCGCCCCACCCUGCCCCUACCAACCCAGAGUUGCUCUCGUGGUUUUGGCUGCCUCUCCAUCCUGCUGCUGAUGUGGACGGCAACCGGGUUUGCUUUCCUUCUGGAGAAGGGGCUGAAGGCAAGGGACCGUGUGCCCCCCCGGACUCUCCUCACGGCCACCAGCAUCGGGAGCAGCAGUAAAGGCAGAGAGACGCCGGAGCUACCCAGACCUCUGGCUUCAGGUCGCCUUCCCGUUGGAUUGNUUUUCAAACUUGACCCUGAUGGACUAUUGGGAUGGAACAUUCCUAAAGAUGAUGUAGUUGUUUUUAUUAAAAAAUGGACGCAUAUAUGGAGAAGAGCCCAAGAUCUCUCUGAAAGCUGAACAGAAGCAUAUUCCGGAGCUCUGCCGUUUGCUUCAAAUCAUGGCAGGCAGUCUGGGCAGGGGAGGGAGAGGAGGGGAGGCCUCAGAAUGUUAGAAUGCCCCCCUCUCAGCGAAUAGAGGCCUGAGGGGACAGGAC